UAUAUUUUAAUAUAUGAAGUAUAAAAAUUUUUGAAAUUUUAAGAAAUAGUUUAAUUCUAUUAAAUAUAA
Molecule: transfer RNA, 69 nt
Filed under: Agulla arizonica
Lineage: Eukaryota; Metazoa; Arthropoda; Insecta; Raphidioptera; Raphidiidae
Also listed under: 1 other name
Description: tRNA-Gln
Source: RNAcentral